RNAcentral lists this ribosomal RNA (487 nucleotides) under Geotrichum candidum. RNAcentral's name for it is "eukaryotic LSU rRNA". It matches the Rfam family "Eukaryotic large subunit ribosomal RNA", at positions 47 to 556 of the family's 3401-position model. Lineage: Eukaryota; Fungi; Ascomycota; Dipodascomycetes; Dipodascales; Dipodascaceae. The record is from RNAcentral.
AAAGCGGAGGAAAAAGAAACCAACAGGGAUUGCCUUAGUAACGGCGAGUGAAGCGGCAAAAGCUCAAAUUUGAAAUCGGCCCCCAGGUCGAGUUGUAAUUUGUAGAUUGUAUCUUGAGAGCGGAUUAAAGUCUGUUGGAACACAGCGCCUUAGAGGGUGACAGCCCCGUAAAAUCUAUUCUCAUUGUAAGAUACUUUCGAAGAGUCGAGUUGUUUGGGAAUGCAGCUCUAAGUGGGAGGUAAAUUCCUUCUAAAGCUAAAUAUUGACGAGAGACCGAUAGCGAACAAGUACUGUGAAGGAAAGAUGAAAAGCACUUUGAAAAGAGAGUGAAAAAGUACGUGAAAUUGUUAAAAGGGAAGGGUAUUGAAUCAGACUUGGUGCUGUUGUUCAACUGUGUUUUGGCACAGUGUACUCAGCAGUACUAGGCCAAGGUGGGGUGUUUGGGAGUGAAAAAGAAGUUGGAACGUAACUCUUCGGAGUGUUAUAG